ACAGAAGACGCCAUCACACUGAUGUUUCAAGAAUUUUCAGUCUCUCUCAGUUGUACCACCAAGGAAACAUAAUCUUCUUCUACUUAGAGAGUAACUUACUUAUUCCGUGGUUCUACAUUGUUUAAAAUGUUGCUAAACUUUUUAGCCAAAUUACUAGUAUUUUCUGUGUUCGUCCUGAUAUUGAAUUCUGAGCAAAAUAGGAAUGGAGUAUAUUGUGAGAAAGAAACAAAGAUUAUUUCAGAAUAUGGAAACGUUGUUAUGUUAAAAAUUAAUUCAUCUCCAUCAGAUUUAUUCGAAACACCAAUCAGCAAAGCAAUAUGUAUUAAAAUGGAGACAGGAUAUCCUGAAGAUUUCAUGCCUACCAAUCUUACAAUCGAUAUAAUAUCAUGUACUGCUGAAGACAGCAGAAUGUCAGUCAAGGACGAUUGGAUGAGACCUACUUUUGAAUUCUACAUUUGCAAUAGCCUAGAG
This is a long non-coding RNA of Nilaparvata lugens (brown planthopper), 471 nucleotides long. RefSeq lists it as uncharacterized. The transcript has 3 exons. The record is from RefSeq and is a predicted model, not a curated record. Lineage: Eukaryota; Metazoa; Arthropoda; Insecta; Hemiptera; Delphacidae.